GACGAACGCUGGCGGCGUGCUUAACACAUGCAAGUCGAACGGAAAGGCCCUUCGGGGUACUCGAGUGGCGAACGGGUGAGUAACACGUGGGUGAUCUGCCCUGCACUUUGGGAUAAGCCUGGGAAACUGGGUCUAAUACCGAAUAGGACCCAGCACUUCAUGGUGCGUGGUGGAAAGCUUUUGGGGUGUUGGAUGGGCCCGCGGCCUAUCAGCUUGUUGGUGGGGUAAUGGCCUGCCAAGGCGACGACGGGUAGCCGGCCUGAGAGGGUGACCGGCCACACUGGGACUGAGAUACGGCCCAGACUCCUACGGGAGGCAGCAGUGGGGAAUAGUGCGCAAUGGGCGCAAGCCUGAUGCAGCGACGCCGCGUGAGGGAUGACGGCCUUCGGGUUGUAAACCUCUUUCAAUAGGGACGAAGCGCAAGUGACGGUACCUAUAGAAGAAGCACCGGCCAACUACGUGCCAGCAGCCGCCGUAA
This 478-nucleotide ribosomal RNA is filed under the name uncultured bacterium. RNAcentral describes it as "partial 16S ribosomal RNA". It matches the Rfam family "Bacterial small subunit ribosomal RNA", at positions 28 to 523 of the family's 1533-position model. The record is from RNAcentral.